RNAcentral lists this ribosomal RNA (521 nucleotides) under uncultured marine bacterium. RNAcentral describes it as "bacterial SSU rRNA". It matches the Rfam family "Bacterial small subunit ribosomal RNA", at positions 355 to 896 of the family's 1533-position model. The record is from RNAcentral.
UGGGGAAUCUUGCACAAUGGAGGAAACUCUGAUGCAGCGAUGCCGCGUGAGUGAAGAAGGCCCUUGGGUUGUAAAGCUUUUUCGUCGGGGAAGAAAAUGACUGUACCCGAAUAAGAAGGUCCGGCUAACUUCGUGCCAGCAGCCGCGGUAAUACGAAGGGACCUAGCGUAGUUCGGAAUUACUGGGCUUAAAGAGUUCGUAGGUGGUUGAAAAAGUUAGUGGUGAAAUCCCAGAGCUUAACUCUGGAACUGCCAUUAAAACUUUUCAGCUAGAGUAUGAUAGAGGAAAGCAGAAUUUCUAGUGUAGAGGUGAAAUUCGUAAAUAUUAGGAAGAAUACCAAUUGCGAAGGCAGCUUUCUGGAUCAUUACUGACACUGAGGAACGAAAGCAUGGGUAGCGAAGAGGAUUAGAUACCCUCGUAGUCCAUGCCGUAAACGAUGUGUGUUAGACGUUGGAAAUUUAUUUUCAGUGUCGCAGGGAAACCGAUAAACACACCGCCUGGGGAGUACGACCGCAAGGUUA